AGAGUUUGAUCCUGGCUCAGAUUGAACGCUGGCGGCAGGCCUAACACAUGCAAGUCGAACGGUAACAGGAAACAGCUUGCUGUUUCGCUGACGAGUGGCGGACGGGUGAGUAAUGUCUGGGAAACUGCCUGAUGGAGGGGGAUAACUACUGGAAACGGUAGCUAAUACCGCAUAACGUCGCAAGACCAAAGAGGGGGACCCUCGGGCCUCUUGCCAUCGGAUGUGCCCAGAUGGGAUUAGCUUGUUGGUGGGGUAACGGCUCACCAAGGCGACGAUCCCUAGCUGGUCUGAGAGGAUGACCAGCCACACUGGAACUGAGACACGGUCCAGACUCCUACGGGAGGCAGCAGUGGGGAAUAUUGCACAAUGGGCGCAAGCCUGAUGCAGCCAUGCCGCGUGUAUGAAGAAGGCCUUCGGGUUGUAAAGUACUUUCAGCGGGGAGGAAGGGAGUAAAGUUAAUACCUUUGCUCAUUGACGUUACCCGCAGAAGAAGCACCGGCUAACUCCGUGCCAGCAGCCGCGGUAAUACGGAGGGUGCAAGCGUUAAUCGGAAUUACUGGGCGUAAAGCGCACGCAGGCGGUUUGUUAAGUCAGAUGUGAAAUCCCCGGGCUCAACCUGGGAACUGCAUCUGAUACUGGCAAGCUUGAGUCUCGUAGAGGGGGGUAGAAUUCCAGGUGUAGCGGUGAAAUGCGUAGAGAUCUGGAGGAAUACCGGUGGCGAAAGCGGCCCCCUGGACGAAGACUGACGCUCAGUGCGAAAGCGUGGGGGAGCAAACAGGAUUAGAUACCCUGGUAGU
RNAcentral lists this ribosomal RNA (797 nucleotides) under uncultured bacterium. Its description in RNAcentral is "bacterial SSU rRNA". It matches the Rfam family "Bacterial small subunit ribosomal RNA", at positions 8 to 794 of the family's 1533-position model. The record is from RNAcentral.